GCCAUUUUGUGCAGUCUGUCCUUGCUGAUCCUGCUCAGCAGAAGGCUGGACUCCAUGACUUUCAGAGGUCCCUUCCAACCUUGGCCAUUCUGUGAUUGUGGGAUCCUCUAGCCCCCUGAAUCACAGACAAAUGAGAGUGGUGGUGCCAUAUUUAAUCGGCAGGCACACCUUGGCCAAGCUAUUUUUAACCAUUCACGAGGGAAUUUAGACAGCAGAUCCAUUGGGCCCAUGUUGGCACAACAGCCACGGGCAUUUUAUGCCUUCCGUGGGGAUGGUGCUGGCUGUCGGUGGAGGGAUGUGGCCAUGGGGCUGAGGCUCAUUCUGGGAAGGAUCUGGGUGCACUGUAGACACUAAGCCUGUCCUUUUGUCCUGCCAGGCAAUGUGGUGAGUUCCCCAGCAAGUCCAUCACCCUCAGGUGAGUGAUUCCCUCCUACACCCCCAGAAACCCGAGCAUGGGGAGUGGGCGUGCUGUGCUGCCUUCCCCAGGGCAUGGGGACAAGCAGGAGCUUUACCAGGCAGGAGCUGUUCCAGCUGCACAGGCACGUCCUGCUCCCUGCCUCUCCCCAUCACACCCCGCUGCCCUCACACCCUCUCUUCCCCAGCUCAAAAUUCCUGGAUCCCACACACCCUCGCCACAGGCACGGCGCUGGCAGUGGCGGCCGUCGGCCUCGUUGUCCUGGCUGCAGGCAGCUGGUUUGCCAUCAGGAAAGGUGCCUGCAGAGGGAGAUGCCCAAGGCAGCAGCACGUUGACAGCCCACAGAUGGAAACCACAGACCAUGGCGAAGUCACAUACUCCACCAUCGCCCAUGUUCAACGGGACAGGGUGAGUCAUGGCACAGCUGUGCACAGCUCCUUUCUGCACUCCUGCAGCCUGAUGCACGCUCAUUGUGCAGGGCUCACAGUCAGGAGCUGAAGUAACAGGGUUUCAUUUCUCCCUAAAACCUCCUCCCAUGCAGAAGACGAGCCACACCACGACAUAUGCCACGGUGACCCGCACCCAGACCCGAUAGCGCUGCCACAGGGCAAGGGCACAGGAGCCUUGUCCACAGAUGCCUUUUCUCUCCUGCAGAGUUCUUGUGCAGUCAUAUCAUGGGGCUGCGGGGUGCACUUUGGGCUUCUCUGGAAUUUUUUGUCACAGGGAAGGGCUGUGUGUGUCUAGCCAAGAGGAUGAAGGACUCAUAUCUCUGUUUGCAAUAAAUUAACACCUCUAAAAUAUAUCA
RNAcentral lists this long non-coding RNA (1220 nucleotides) under Anas platyrhynchos platyrhynchos (common mallard). RNAcentral's name for it is "lncRNA (ENSAPLG00000024019.1)". Lineage: Eukaryota; Metazoa; Chordata; Aves; Anseriformes; Anatidae. The record is from RNAcentral.